CAGCCGCCGCGGUAAUACGUAGGGUCCGAGCGUUGUCCGGAAUUAUUGGGCGUAAAGAGCUCGUAGGCGGUCUGUCGCGUCUGCCGUGAAAUCCUCAGGCUCAACCUGAGGCGUGCGGUGGGUACGGGCAGGCUAGAGUGCGGUAGGGGAGAAUGGAACUCCUGGUGUAGCGGUGGAAUGCGCAGAUAUCAGGAAGAACACCGAUGGCGAAGGCAGUUCUCUGGGCCGUAACUGACGCUGAGGAGCGAAAGCGUGGGGAGCGAACAGGAUUAGAUACCCGAGUAGUCCCUGUCUCUUAUAC
This 301-nucleotide ribosomal RNA is filed under the name uncultured bacterium. RNAcentral describes it as "partial 16S ribosomal RNA". It matches the Rfam family "Bacterial small subunit ribosomal RNA", at positions 509 to 807 of the family's 1533-position model. The record is from RNAcentral.